CAAGUCGUAACAAGGUUUCCGUAGGUGAACCUGCGGAAGGAUCAGUCUUGGAUAAAGUCUGAUGCCGGCACUGCGGCCGAUCGGCCGCGCGCCGGGUGAGCCUUCGGGCUUCACAUCCCUUUGUGUGACCUCGGUCACGUUAAUUGGMGCGAGAGGUCAUCCUCCGCCCCGCAGAUUGGAUGAUCGAGUCGGGUCCUUGCUGCGUAUGCCCUCACCGAACAAGUAUAAAUACACGGGGCAGGCCAUUGGCCAGACAUGUACCACAACUAUCGAGAUCACACAGUUUUAUACAACUGGUAGCGUUGGAUCCCUCGGCAUGGCUAUCGAUGAAGAGCGCGGCCAGCUGCGAAAUGUGAUGUGAAUUGCAACUCAAAGCGGUUAUCGUGAAUCAUUGACUACUUGAACGCAUUGCACCGCCCUUUUGGGAGUGGUACGCCCGAUUGAGUGUCAUAAUCUCCUUCAGGUCUGUUGGUUUCAAUCGUUCGUUCGAUGACCGUCCACACGCUGCAAGCCGCCUCUCUYGAGGUGGUGGAGGUGUGUUGACGGGAAACCUUUUGGACUCUGGUUUCGAGGUUGCACGGAGACUUUCCGCGCACCUUCAGAUGCAUUAGCGGUUGYUCCUUGUCAGACAAGUUUGACUCCAYGUGAUGAGAUCAUGUUCGUGGAGGAGUGCCUGGCACGCUUGCUGAUCUUGGCGCCGCUGCGAAACCGCCUUCGGGCAAAAUGCCACCUUUGUGUGGAAGCUCCAUGACAUUGGCCUCAGUUGGGUGGGAUGACCCGCUUGAUUUAAGCAUAUUAUUCAGCGGAGGAAAAGAAACUAACAAGGAUUCCCCCAGUAACGGCGAGUGAAGAGGGAAGAGCUCAUGUGU
RNAcentral lists this ribosomal RNA (869 nucleotides) under Tulasnellaceae sp. RP-2011. Its description in RNAcentral is "eukaryotic LSU rRNA". The stretch from base 755 to 869 matches the Rfam family "Eukaryotic large subunit ribosomal RNA", at positions 1 to 116 of the family's 3401-position model. Lineage: Eukaryota; Fungi; Basidiomycota; Agaricomycetes; Cantharellales; Tulasnellaceae. The record is from RNAcentral.